RNAcentral lists this ribosomal RNA (400 nucleotides) under uncultured bacterium. Its description in RNAcentral is "bacterial SSU rRNA". It matches the Rfam family "Bacterial small subunit ribosomal RNA", at positions 355 to 767 of the family's 1533-position model. The record is from RNAcentral.
UCGAGAAUCUUCGGCAAUGGACGAAAGUCUGACCGAGCGACGCCGCGUGCGGGAUGAAGGCCUUCGGGUUGUAAACCGCUGUCGAGGGGGAUUAAGGGCAACUUGAAAGAACCCUGGAGGAAGGAGAGGCUAAGCUCGUGCCAGCAGCCGCGGUAAGACGAGCUCUCCAAACGUUAUUCGGUAUCACUGGGCUUAAAGAGUUCGUAGGCGGCUCUUCAGGUGGGGUGUGAAAGCCCUCGGCUUAACCGAGGAAUUGCGCCCCAAACCGUUGGGCUUGAGGGAUAUAGGGGUAAGCGGAACAGAUGGUGGAGCGGUGAAAUGCAUUGAUAUCAUCUGGAACACCGGUGGCGAAAGCGGCUUACUGGAUAUUUUCUGACGCUGAGGAACGAAAGCUAGGGUA